This 585-nucleotide ribosomal RNA is filed under the name uncultured bacterium. RNAcentral's name for it is "bacterial SSU rRNA". It matches the Rfam family "Bacterial small subunit ribosomal RNA", at positions 55 to 635 of the family's 1533-position model. The record is from RNAcentral.
AUGCAAGUCGGACGGCAGCGCGGGGGCAACCCUGGCGGCGAGUGGCGAACGGGUGAGUAAUACAUCGGAACGUGUCCUGGAGUGGGGGAUAGCCCGGCGAAAGCCGGAUUAAUACCGCAUACGCUCUAUGGAGGAAAGCGGGGGAUCUUCGGACCUCGCGCUCAGGGGGCGGCCGAUGGCAGAUUAGCUAGUUGGUGGGGUAAAGGCCUACCAAGGCGACGAUCUGUAGCUGGUCUGAGAGGACGACCAGCCACACUGGGACUGAGACACGGCCCAGACUCCUACGGGAGGCAGCAGUGGGGAAUUUUGGACAAUGGGGGCAACCCUGAUCCAGCAAUGCCGCGUGUGUGAAGAAGGCCUUCGGGUUGUAAAGCACUUUUGUCCGGAAAGAAAACUUCGCUCCUAAUACGGGUGGAGGAUGACGGUACCGGAAGAAUAAGCACCGGCUAACUACGUGCCAGCAGCCGCGGUAAUACGUAGGGUGCGAGCGUUAAUCGGAAUUACUGGGCGUAAAGCGUGCGCAGGCGGUUCGCUAAGACCGAUGUGAAAUCCCCGGGCUUAACCUGGGAACUGCAUUGGUGACUG